UGAGGCUUGAGUCACUUGUCCACAUUCACACAGCUGUUCUGAGUGGCAGAGAUAGAACUCAGCCUGUGCCCUGUGACCCGGUGCCUUCAGGAUGUGGGGCUGGGGCUCGAGCAAGAGCGUGGAGCUCCCUGCAGACUUCUGAGCAGUUCACAUAAGGAUGUUAAUCAAAGCACCAAUAUUGACAAGUUUGUGGAGAGUGGUAACAUGCAGAGGGAAGAACUGAGAAAAGACCGAGAGUGAGCAGGCAAAGGGAUGAAAAGGAGCCAGAGGGGUACACCAACCAAGAGCCGCCAAGCAGGGGAGCAGGGAAGAAAAGGAAACAGAAGACAGUCUUUGCCACCGAUUGAAGGCAAUAAGGUGAACAGAUUAAAAAGACAUAUAGCAAAAGGAUAUUGUACAAGUGAAAACCAAUUUUCAUUGACAGGGAACUUACCUGGUUCAGCAGUGCUGAUCAUUCAUUCAUUUACUCUUUCAUUGUUAUCAUUCAAUAACUAUUUUGUAAGCACCUUCCACAAGGUGCACAAGCACCUUCCACAAGGCCACAAGGAAGAAGACCACGUUAACUCUGAAUUAUGCCCAGAGUUCUAGAGUCUUCUUUCACUUAAUAGACAAUAAAUGGGCAAUUCCAUGCACAA
Molecule: non-coding RNA, 635 nt
Organism: Microcebus murinus (gray mouse lemur)
Lineage: Eukaryota; Metazoa; Chordata; Mammalia; Primates; Cheirogaleidae
Source: RefSeq, a predicted model, not a curated record